This 468-nucleotide ribosomal RNA is filed under the name uncultured bacterium. RNAcentral's name for it is "partial 16S ribosomal RNA". It matches the Rfam family "Bacterial small subunit ribosomal RNA", at positions 28 to 507 of the family's 1533-position model. The record is from RNAcentral.
GACGAACGCUGGCGGCGUGCUUAACACAUGCAAGUCGAGCGGAAAGGCCAGGCUGUUGUUGCUCGCUCGAUUGGCGAGCGAGUGAGAGGCACGUGAGUAGCCCUUGCCUUUCGGAUUGGUAUCUGCACGGGACAGUGGCGCAUACCACGAAGAAUCUAGUGAUCCGGUGGGGGUGUUAGGAAGUUGUGGCGGUGGUGUGUGGACUAGCUGCUUACCAGCUGGUUGGGGGAGUAGUGGCGGUCCAAGGCUUCGAUGGCUAGCCUGCAUGGGCGGCUGACCAGGCACAAUGGGACUGCGAGACGGCCCAGACUCGUACGGGAGGCAGCAGUGGGGAAUAUUGCACAAUGGGCGGAAGCCUGAUACAGCAACGCCGCGUGCGGGAUGACGGCCUUCGGGUUGUAAACCGCUUUCGACGGUGACGAAGCGUUAGUGACGGUACCUAGUAAAGAAGCACCGGCUAACUACGUG